Mya arenaria is the source of this 1445-nucleotide long non-coding RNA. RefSeq lists it as uncharacterized. The record is from RefSeq and is a predicted model, not a curated record. The transcript is spliced from 3 exons. Lineage: Eukaryota; Metazoa; Mollusca; Bivalvia; Myida; Myidae.
AUGUGAUUGUUUCAGAGAAGAUAUUAAUUGACCUUACGACAGCGGCUACUAAGCCACGCCCCCUGAUAUCAAGGGAGCGAACACUGUCUAUGUCCGUCAAACAAACAAGGAAGCAAUGGCGUUGUUUCACCGACAUUCCUGACGGUUUGGGGCCAAAUUAUCAUAAAUGUGACAUUUCACUGCGAAAACAACAGUAGGCAAAGGAAUUUGUUACUGGCUGCUACAUCGGAAAGCUCGAUAUAUCUUUAGAAGACGAUGAUAUCUAACAUUUACGGGCUGAAAUCUAUCGAAGUCAGAGAAAUCGGAUAGCCACCAUGUUGUCAACAUUGAUAUCGAUACAAAGGAAAAGCGUGUGUGUGACGCAUACUGUAAAUGCAAACUAGGAAAUUUCACACACUCUGCCUGUUAAGGUAAACCUGGGAGGAAAAGUGCCCCCGGUGUGGGGCUUAAACUCACGACCACCAUAAUACUAGCACGGCGCUCUAACCAACUACGCUGACCGGGCAGCUGGUUGUAACCAACGCUGCCACCAUCAAAGUAUUCUGAUUGAUGGAUAUAAGGAAGUCCCGUUGUUAUUGUCUUCAACAAGCCUACCGCCACAGCCUGGCACAGUAUAAGACCAGAAACCGCCCCCCCCCCAUGAUAUUUGCCAGUCCGGGCAAUGUAAACCGCAAGAGAAAACCAGUGAUGGAAAGUGUGGUCUUUUGAAGAGAGUCCUUGAAGUCGUUCAGCAUGUUGUGUUGUUGGAUUCAUGGAAGGAUGUACCUAUGGUGUUAGCUUCAGUCCUGGAAUAUAACACCAGUUGUUUCAUAUUUAAUAUCAGAUUAAUACAUUGUUGUGUUGAAAACAUUACUUAAACUUUGACAUUUCUUUGGUGCUUAUACAUGAUAUUGUAGGUGUACAUCUCUUUAUUGCAAUGGCAAAUAUAUUUUAAAAUAUAUCGCAUAAGCAGAAGUAAUUUUUCUCUAUUAAAGCUGCACUUUCACAGAUUGAUCGCUUUGACAACUUAUAAAAGAUAUGAUUGCAUUUAUCAUAUUUUGGCUCAGAGGUUUGCUUUGUGGUUAUAUAUAAGAACUUAAUUGAAAGAAUGACAAAAUUAGCCCCAUUCUCAAACAAAAAAGUGUCAAAACAGAAAUCUGUGAGAGUGCAACUUUACGAAUGGGAUAAACUUUCAUUAAAGAUAAUAGAUUUACGUAAUUGGCACCAAAUAUAAGAAUAACAUUGAAAUCAUGUACAUGUUUGACUUGUUCAUUAUUCAUAAUAAGAGACUACAGUGAGUCUUUACAGCACAUGCUUGGCAGAAUCAAGUGAACUCAAUAAUUGAUUUAAAUGAUUUAUAUGAAAAUAAGAAAUCUAUGAAAUUGUGUCGAAAUGACUGCUACAAUAGCCAUUGUUUACAUGAAAUAAAUUGAUUUAUACAGCAAAUAAAACCUUGACGAUUCAGA